Etheostoma spectabile (orangethroat darter) is the source of this 619-nucleotide long non-coding RNA. RefSeq lists it as uncharacterized. The transcript is spliced from 4 exons. Lineage: Eukaryota; Metazoa; Chordata; Actinopteri; Perciformes; Percidae. The record is from RefSeq and is a predicted model, not a curated record.
GGAAGAGCAGUGGGGUGGGCGAGGGAUGGAGGAAGAAGGAAGAAGAGAGGAAGGGAAGGGAGGGAGGGAGGGAGGGAGAGGAGAAACGUGUAAUCACCCAAACAACCAUUUUUACCCAUUUUACCCCCUCUGGAUCUGUGUCGCAAGUCUGCCGGGAGCUUAUCUGUCUUUCACUGCGGAUACCGUGAAGGGAGGCCGGGCCGAGAGGAAGACACCAAGAGGAGGAAGAGGAUAAUCAGAUGCCCGGGAGGACGGGAAAUCGCGUGCCAAAAAAACACAUUACUCCUGAAUUCCAAUUUGCACAGAGAUGAAAAAUGGCAUGCAGCUGGCCGAGUACUUCCUUCCCCUUGUCGGGGUCAGCAGUUCACUAUGCUGAUGGAGACCCUCACACCUUCAUUAAUAAGAGUCCCCCUGCACUCACACAGGUCGCUUUGCUGCAUCGCUGGACGCCCAUCACUCCUACCUUUGUCUGGAUUUCCUAUCAUUACAUUCCUCCGUCGCUGCAUGAGCCAGUGAUUAUUUUGUUGAUGACUGACAACUGCUGUUUUUCUUUUUUGGUAUUUUAGCCAGCCGGCUGACGUUGGACACUGAAUCCCUGACCUUUGUCUAUAUGGUUACC